RNAcentral lists this ribosomal RNA (490 nucleotides) under uncultured bacterium. RNAcentral describes it as "partial 16S ribosomal RNA". It matches the Rfam family "Bacterial small subunit ribosomal RNA", at positions 30 to 507 of the family's 1533-position model. The record is from RNAcentral.
AUUGAACGCUGGCGGCAGGCCUAACACAUGCAAGUCGAACGGUAACAGGAAGAAGCUUGCUUCUUUGCUGACGAGUGGCGGACGGGUGAGUAAUGUCUGGGAAACUGCCUGAUGGAGGGGGAUAACUACUGGAAACGGUAGCUAAUACCGCAUAACGUCGCAAGACCAAAGAGGGGGACCUUCGGGCCUCUUGCCAUCGGAUGUGCCCAGAUGGGAUUAGCUAGUAGGUGGGGUAACGGCUCACCUAGGCGACGAUCCCUAGCUGGUCUGAGAGGAUGACCAGCCACACUGGAACUGAGUCACGGUCCAGACUCCUACGGGAGGCAGCAGUGGGGAAUAUUGCACAAUGGGCGCAAGCCUGAUGCAGCCAUGCCGCGUGUAUGAAGAAGGCCUUCGGGUUGUAAAGUACUUUCAGCGGGGAGGAAGGGAGUAAAGUUAAUACCUUUACUCAUUGACGUUACCCGCAGAAGAAGCACCGGCUAACUCCGUG